GACGAACGCUGGUGGCGUGCUUAACACAUGCAAGUCGAACGGUAAGGCCCUUUCGGGGGUACACGGAGCGGCGAACGGGUGAGUAACACGUGGGUGACCUGCCCUCAGCUCUGGGAUAAGCCUGGGAAACCGGGUCUAAUACUGGAUAUGACUCCAUGACGCAUGUUGUGGGGUGGAAAGCCUUGUGCGGCUGAGGAUGGGCCCGCGGCCUAUCAGCUUGUUGGUGGGGUGAUGGCCUACCAAGGCGACGACGGGUAGCCGGCCUGAGAGGGCGACCGGCCACACUGGGACUGAGACACGGCCCAGACUCCUACGGGAGGCAGCAGUGGGGAAUC
Molecule: ribosomal RNA, 335 nt
Filed under: uncultured bacterium
Lineage: Bacteria
Description: bacterial SSU rRNA
Rfam family: Bacterial small subunit ribosomal RNA
Source: RNAcentral